RNAcentral lists this ribosomal RNA (497 nucleotides) under uncultured bacterium. Its description in RNAcentral is "partial 16S ribosomal RNA". It matches the Rfam family "Bacterial small subunit ribosomal RNA", at positions 28 to 507 of the family's 1533-position model. The record is from RNAcentral.
GAUGAACGCUGGCGGCGUGCCUAAUACAUGCAAGUCGAGCGAACGGACGAGAAGCUUGCUUCUCUGAUGUUAGCGGCGGACGGGUGAGUAACACGUGGAUAACCUACCUAUAAGACUGGGAUAACUUCGGGAAACCGGAGCUAAUACCGGAUGAUAUUUUGAACCGCAUGGUUCAAAAGUGAAAGACGGUCUUGCUGUCACUUAUAGAUGGAUCCGCGCUGCAUUAGCUAGUUGGUAAGGUAACGGCUUACCAAGGCAACGAUGCAUAGCCGACCUGAGAGGGUGAUCGGCCACACUGGAACUGAGACACGGUCCAGACUCCUACGGGAGGCAGCAGUAGGGAAUCUUCCGCAAAGGGCGAAAGCCUGACGGAGCAACGCCGCGUGAGUGAUGAAGGUCUUCGGAUCGUAAAACUCUGUUAUUAGGGAAGAACAUAUGUGUAAGUAACUGUGCACAUCUUGACGGCACCUAAUCAGAAAGCCACGGCUAACUACGUG